GACGAACGCUGGCGGCGUGCUUAGCACAUGCAAGUCAAGGAGAAAGCUUUCUUCGGAUGGCAAGUAAACUGGCGCACGGGUGAGUAAUAUGUAAGUAAUCUACCGAUAGGUUUGGGAUAACUUCGAGAAAUCGGGGCUAAUACCAAAUAAUGCAGCGGCAUCGCAUGAUGAUGUUGUUAAAGUAAUUUAUUACGCCUAUUGAUGAGCUUGCAGCUGAUUAGCUAGUUGGCGGGGUAAAGGCCCACCAAGGCAACGAUCAGUAGCUGGUCUGAGAGGAUGAUCAGCCACACUGGAACUGACACACGGUCCAGACUCCUACGGGAGGCAGCAGUGAGGAAUUUUGCGCAAUGGGGGAAACCCUGACGCAGCAACGCCGCGUGAGUGAUGAAGGCUUUCGGGUCGUAAAGCUCUGUCAAGUGGGAAGAACCCACAUGGUGCCAAUAUCACCAUGUGCUGACGGUACCACUGAAGGAAGCACCGGCUAACUCCGUGCCAGCAGCCGCGGUAACACGGGGGGUGCAAGCGUUAUUCGGAAUUACUGGGCGUAAAGAGCGCGUAGGCGGUCUUUUAAGUCAGGUGUGAAAGCCCGGGGCUCAACCCCGGAAGUGCACUUGAAACUAAGGGACUUGAGUAUGGGAGAGGGAAGUGGAAUUCCUGGUGUAGCGGUGAAAUGCGUAGAUAUCAGGAGGAACACCGGUGGCGAAGGCGACUUCCUGGACCAAUACUGACGCUGAGGCGCGAAGGCGUGGGGAGCAAACAGGAUUAGA
This 767-nucleotide ribosomal RNA is filed under the name uncultured bacterium. RNAcentral describes it as "bacterial SSU rRNA". It matches the Rfam family "Bacterial small subunit ribosomal RNA", at positions 28 to 782 of the family's 1533-position model. The record is from RNAcentral.